AGAGUGAACGCUGGCGGUAGGCCUAACACAUGCAAGUCGAACGGCAGCACAGGAGAGCUUGCUCUCUGGGUGGCGAGUGGCGGACGGGUGAGGAAUACAUCGGAAUCUACCUUUUCGUGGGGGAUAACGUAGGGAAACUUACGCUAAUACCGCAUAAGACCUUCGGGUGAAAGCCGGGGACCUUCGGGCCUGGCGCGGAUAGAUGAGCCGAUGUCGGAUUAGCUUGUUGGCGGGGUAAAAGCCCACCAAGGCGACGAUCCGUAGCUGGUCUGAGAGGAUGAUCAGCCACACUGGAACUGAGACACGGUCCAGACUCCUACGGGAGGCAGCAGUGGGGGAAUA
RNAcentral lists this ribosomal RNA (342 nucleotides) under uncultured soil bacterium. RNAcentral's name for it is "bacterial SSU rRNA". It matches the Rfam family "Bacterial small subunit ribosomal RNA", at positions 26 to 364 of the family's 1533-position model. The record is from RNAcentral.